CCACCCCUCCUCACUUGCUCUCACUUUUCCACUCCCCACUCUUUCCUCCACUCCCACACACUCUCCUCCUAUCUCUCCCCACGAAAUUGCUGCUCCUCCUAGCUUCAUGGCCGGCCAUGGCCAUGAAAAGCUCUCCAUGAUGAAGCUCUCCCCCUCCCUCAAGCUCCUCCUCUCCAUGAGAGCAUCCCUCUCCUUUUUCUCCCCAACCCUAGAUGGUUUUCUCUCCUCUUCUUCUUCCUCCCUUGCUAAGUUUGGAUCUUGAUGCAGGUGCAUGUUGGUCCAAGCAUGGAGAAGCUUCACCUAUCCUCAGAUCUGAAGUUCUUGACCAAAAUCCAAAUCGAGUGAUUCAAAGUUCCACAGAUAGGUAUUGAAAAGAUCUACAACUUGGCGUUGGUCUCAUCCUCAAAUUCGUUACGGAUUUUGCGUGGUGAAUAAAGUUCUACAAACAUGCAGAAUCACUGUUUGUUAGAUUUCUUCCGUUUUACAAAACCUUUUUGAGCAAACUCAACUAUCAAGAUCUGGUCAGAUCUGACUUUGUCGAAUUAAACCAGGAGGCUGGAGACGAAUUUUUGAAUGAAACCAAUUGGGGGAUACUUAGUUGUGCCAUGGUGAUACCGAGAGAGGCAAUUGCUAAGUUAUGAUACUCUCAUACCUUUACUAGAUGCGAACGAUUCCGGAGAAGAAGAAGAAGUGGUUCGGACAAGGAUUUUAUUUAUAUUGACGGGAUUCUUAUAUUGAUGAAGUUGAAGAAGUCCAGGGACAAAUAAGCCAAG
Lolium perenne is the source of this 773-nucleotide long non-coding RNA. RefSeq lists it as uncharacterized. NCBI's taxonomy places the organism in Eukaryota, Viridiplantae, Streptophyta, Magnoliopsida, Poales, Poaceae. The record is from RefSeq and is a predicted model, not a curated record.